This is a non-coding RNA of Anas platyrhynchos (mallard), 5392 nucleotides long. The record is from RefSeq and is a predicted model, not a curated record. NCBI's taxonomy places the organism in Eukaryota, Metazoa, Chordata, Aves, Anseriformes, Anatidae.
GAGGGGACGAAGUGGGGGAGGUUUUGGGAAAAGGGGCUCCCCCCCCCCCCCCACCGCCAUCACCACCUUGGGAUGGGGCGCACUGAGGAUGGAUGGACGGACAGGCGUGUUGUUGAGGGGUGGCUCCGUUUUUGGUCUCGGGGGACCGUGGUGGUGGUCGCUGAGGGGUUUGGGGAUGGCCAAACCCUCGCCUCGCUGUGCCCGGCACGGGCAAAGAGCUGCCGCCCUCCCCUUCCCAAAUGGGGAGCUGUGGAAGCGCACACAAGGCCGGCUGCCCUUCCCAAAAAGACCUAUUGCUUCUUCCCUCCCGAAGGCAGCAAUCUCCCAUUCCGAAACCAGCCACAAUAAUACAUAACAGGCUCAAAAAUAAAAGUUUGGGGGCUGCCGGAUAGGGAGCUGGAUAAAAAAUCCCCCCACAACCCCGCGUCCAGGCGAGGAGAUGGAGCCCCAGCAAACUGCGCCUGGGAACAAAGGGGGAAGCCGCUCGCUGCCUCCGCUCGCAGCUGUGCCAGGUGGAGCCGGCUCAGGAACCCUCUCCUGGUGGCCGUGCUGGGGUUAGGGAAUGAUUUGUGCCCUGGACGGUGUGCCUCAGACCCCGGUGAUGGAGGUGAUGGUGUAGGGACGGGGCUUCAGCCCUCAGCCUCAGCGCCUGGCGUGCCGGAGACGUGGCCCUGCCGAAAUAACGCCCCUCGCUCCGGGAGGCCGGAGGAGUUGGGAGCUGAAAAUGUCAGCCCGGCUCCGAGCAGGCCACAGGGGCUGCGGGGUGGGUCUUGGCCUCCUAAAACAUCCCCUCGGUGCCUGUGCUGGAGGAAAGGUUUCUCCAUCGCCUCCCUGCCCCGCUGGGCAACGCGUGGCCCCGCUGGCCGGGCAGGGCGCGAUGGACGGGGGCUGUCUCCUCCUGGGAAGGGGCAGCUCUUGGUAUCAGCACCAAAACUCCGCCAAAUUGCUUAAUUUGGGCAAUCCGCAGCGUAUUGUGCACCAAAGAGGGCCGUAAUGGAGACUUAAUGCCUUCUUUCGGCAGCAGACCCGUAAUUAAGUUACAGAGGGCGUGUGACGGAUCCUUUGAAAGGGGUGAAGGAAUGCGUUUCUUCAGGGUUCUGUCUUUUUCUUCCCCGUGUGGGAUGGAGCGCUUUGGAUUGCAAAUCCCACGAGGAGCCCUGCGAUGCCCAUUUACAUCGGGGAAGGCUGGAGUCACGCUGGGACAUCCCCUACCAGGUCCUGUGGCAGAGCCAGCGGUCUAGCAGCCACCCGAUUUUGGGGCAGGAAUCCCCAAAAGGACGGUGAUCGCGGCAUUGUCCGGAGACGGGUGUUAGUCCUGGAUGUUUUCCCGUGCUGGUGCGGGAAGGGCUCUCCCACCUGGAUUUGCCUGUGCUUGCAGGAGAGCUCGGAGCCAGAUCUGCAGCGUCUGUGCACGAAUAAAACAGUUAAAGAUGCAGCUUGGCGGGUCGGGCUCCUUCAGCCCCGGGAAGGAGGGCUGAGCAUCACUUUUUAUUGUGCUUCUCUUUUUGGUUUAACCUCCAGAGGGGCUGUCAGCUCUGGGAAGGGCCGAAUGGGGAGAGCUGGGAGCGUUGCGGUAGGGCUGAGGGCGUUUUUCUCCCCGCUGCUGGCAAAAGAAACGAGCUAAUGUCCUGGUGACAGGAAGGCAUCUUCGGGGGAAGGUGGGGAGGGGGAAGAGGAAGACGAACCUGAAAUCCUAAAUGGCUUUUGAUUGCCAUGAAGCGCUGGGGCAGACAAUCGCUGGGAUUACCACACUGACAAAGCAUCCUGGGGAGCUGAAUCGCUGGCACAGCGAGCCAAACGGGAAGCUGCUCGCAAGGCUUUCCCGGGGUGGCAGCGUGUGCAGGGCCUUGAUACCGCUGAAAGGAAUUAGGGAUUCAGGGGCUGAAUGCCUCCGCGCUGCCGCGGCUCAAAGGCCAUUGACGGGCAGAGCUAAAAGGGGCUGGAGCGGAAAGCAUUCGCUGCUCCUCGCUGCUGUGAAUCCCGAUAGGGUCUAACAAGAGGGGAAGCAAUCCACUUCCUGAACAUCAAUCACGAGCCAAAUGACCACUGCAAGGCAAAGCGGGCCCGCUGGAUUUCCAGGAGCCGCCGGCCCUUUGAAACAGUCGGGCUUUUGUGCUCUGCGAGGCAGAGAAAUAAGCUUCAGAUCUCCAGGUUUUGGUGUUUUUUUUUUUUUCUUUUUUUGCAGGGCGGAUUCGUAGCUUCGGUGAUUGCAUCUGACAGCCAGGUUAGAGGAGCUUCCCUUCGAGCAGGCCGGCAAAAUGCGGCCUCAGAAACAGCAGUGUCACAUCAAAGGGCGUGAAAUAGCCAGGAAAAGAGCAGUGCAGGAAGGAGUUAAAGGACGGCCGGGGUUCAGGGAAAGUGCAGCACUGCGUGCUAAUGGCUUUGCAGUUGAGGGGAGUUGUCCUGAAAGAGCUGCAGGAAGGAGAGGCAGUCAGGGCUAAGCACUCUCCCUGCAAGAUUUAAGCCUGCUGUCUCAAGAAUAGAAAUAUCGAGCCGUUAACCCUUUUUUCUUUCCCUUUUUUUUAGCGUUUUCCAUAGCAACUAGAUUUCCAGGGAAACCCGACAGGAGAGCAGUGCGAAUGCUGCUGAUGGCCGGGUGUCAGAGGUUGGGACACGGCGUGAGUGCCCCGUGUCCCUGCAGGAGCAGAGCCGUGGCGUUUCCCAGAGCCCAGAGCUGGCGGCUGUGGGGUUUUCUGGUCACUAGCGAGGUGGGAAGGUGGAUUGGGGGGUGUGCGUUCACAUCUCCUGGGAGAAUUCACGUGCAGUGGCUGUGAACAUCGUGACGGAGCGAUGCUCAGCUUAGCAGCAGUGCCACAGGAAAAUUCCUGCUCCUGUGUCAUCCGGCACAAAUAUGAUGUACCUGGGCUCUCCUAGCAGGAAACGGGAUUUUUUCCUAAAAUUUCAGAGAAUGUUCAUGGGACAGAAGGACACAAAUCACGUAGGAUUGAUUGCUGCAUGGGGAUGUGGAGAUAUUAAGUUGCCCGCAGGGGAUGGAUCCCUUUCUGUCCCUUCCACAAGGAAAAUCCGUGUGUACUCAGGGACAGAAACCCGGCAUCUCAUUAAUUCAAAGGACUUUAAGGAGCUGUGGAAGCUGCUUAGGUUCUCUGUUAAAUCCCCCUGUAGCAAAUCUUGGUGGAAAGGUGGGACCUGGGUUCCUGUAGAACAAUUGUGCAAAGUUAGCACUAAUUGAACAUAAAGUUUGCUGAAAUGUGUGUCCGAGAAGGAAGUCCUGUAGGUCCCUUAUCUUGCUGAUAACGAUUUCCGUCAGGUUAAUUACACAACAUGACCAUUUCUGCAAACUCAAAACGAUUUCUCUGGUCUCAGCUAAGUUCCCAAACUGUGCGGACAAAAGCAGAACAUAUUUUUCUGUAAUUGUCUCUAAUUCGGGGUCUCUACAAAGGGGGCACUGUCUGCGCGAGGUAGCAGGCUGUUUCUGCCAAGUCUGCGGAGCUGAGGAUAAAGCAAGGUAACUCAAAUAAAUAAUAAACGCUGCGGAAACCGAAGAGACAACGUUCCAGAUCUGUGCUGCUCCAAGCUGUGCUUUUAUAGCUUACUUUUAAAUGAAGAAAUUACGACAGCACUCAGAAGCUACAGUAGUGGUCACUUUUUAUAACACGUGCAUAUAUUUUUUAGAGCUAUCUUUGUGCACACGGCUUUCUGUACACAGCUUUCAGAUACCUGUAAGAGCUCUGUCAAAGUCUUUGCCUCCAGUUUGCUGGUGAUUUGCUCAGAUUAAGGAGCACGUGGGAUAUCCCAGCUGUUACCCGGCCAGUUGAGGGAUGAUAAAAUUGACUCGUUAGCCAACCACACUGGAGCAGUCCCAACAUCCUCUGCUGAGAGGUUUCUUCUAAGGAAGCGUUGCCUAAUUUUUAUGUCUACAUGCUUGCUUAAAUUGCAUUUUCAUUCCUCUUCUCGCUGCUGGCUUCUCGUUUGUUGGAGUGCUGUGCCUGGUGUGCUGAGAGAAAGCAGGUCGCACAUGGCACGCGUGUUUCCAGCGCUGCUCCUAGGCAGGUAACACAGAGCCUUGCUGUCCUGAUUCAUGCACAUCCUCCCGUUUAACCGAGCAGACUCAGAUUACACCAAGGAGAUAAGCCUGGGAGCUGCCUGGUUUUUAAAUGACCAGCGCAGUGCACUUAUUGGCUGUGUUCACAACCUGAUAUUUCGCUCUGGACAGAGUCGAGCACGGCAGGACCUGAAGCUGGCCGAGGCCACCAGCGGUGACCACAGGGGAGGUGAUCCCUGCAGGAGCCUGGUGGCAGUGACACCGGGGCUGCAAUUCCUUAAAACAACUGAGGAGGACCCAGGAAUCCACAAGGGGGUUGGGAGGAUGCCAGGUUUCUCUUAAAAUAUUUUAUUUUUUUAUUACUAUCAUCAAAGGUGGAAUUAAUUUGCAGAUACGUUCUGCAAAUCUUCCCUUGGAGAAGCCUUUGACCAGAAGAGCGAUAUCAGGUGGUGCGUGGAGAGCAGGGCUCUGUCAAGGAGCCCAGCAGGUCAGGUUGCUGCCCAUAACCUGAGACAGGGAACCGAGCUAAAGAUGGGAGGGCUGGCAAGAAAUUCAGCCGGUAACACGUGGAUCUGCGCAAUCACUCGUGGCCGAGCCAGGUCUGCCUCUUUGCAGCAUCAGAGACAGCAAUUAAAAGCAGCUUUGAUCCGAAUCCAUCCCUACAUUUACCAAUCCUUGGUCCUGGUGGUGGCUGGGGCCAGAAGGAUGUGCUUGCAGCGACCUUAAAAUCUGCGGUUCUUCUUUCCCUAGGUGCAGUAACAUUUCCUGAACAAGCUGUUCUUUUUGUAUUCUUUCUCCAAAAAGGGGAUGCACGAGGCAGCGAGCUGUGGCUUGGGCAUGAGGAGCAGCCCGCGGCAGCGCCGCUCCUGGGGUUAUUUCGGCGCUGGGCUCCUGUUUUAGCCUGAAACUGAACCGUGGACAGGGCCCAAGAAAUGAUGGGGCCAAACUGGCCCUGGGCCAAGGGGCUUGAGGCAACGGGAGGGCUGGAAAUGAAAUCUGCCAGGGUUUGUGGACGUCCAUGCGUUUUGUUCCCCCUGCGGUGAAUGGGGGCUCUGUCCCGGCGAUGCUCCAGGGGGUCCCCAGGGGAGGGGCGCUGGGGAGAGAGCUGGGAGGAAAAUUAAACCGGGAACCUACAGAGGAGGGGAGGCAAAUAAAUACAUAAAUAAAAGUGAAGGCCGCUCCCGGAGAGCCCAGAAAAGCCCUAAAACUUGGGCUGGGAGAAGACAUCCCACCUUGCCUGUGGCUCCCAGCCCUUAUGCAGGCAGACCUCAGGGUAUCGAGAGCAUUAAAAAUGAGGGAUUGAAAUGGGAAAGCACUAAGGACCUGCUUUUUGGGGAGGAAGCCUGUAAAUUUGGAUCAUGCGUUGCUUUGGGAAGAACAUUUUUCCAC